Molecule: ribosomal RNA, 468 nt
Filed under: uncultured bacterium
Lineage: Bacteria
Description: partial 16S ribosomal RNA
Rfam family: Bacterial small subunit ribosomal RNA
Source: RNAcentral
GACGAACGCUGGCGGCGUGCUUAACACAUGCAAGUCGAACGGAAAGGCCCUGCUUUUGUGGGGUGCUCGAGUGGCGAACGGGUGAGUAACACGUGAGUAACCUGCCCUUGACUUUGGGAUAACUUCAGGAAACUGGGGCUAAUACCGGAUAGCAGCUCCUGCUGCAUGGUGGGGGUUGGAAAGUUUCGGCGGUUGGGGAUGGACUCGCGGCUUAUCAGCUUGUUGGUGGGGUAGUGGCUUACCAAGGCUUUGACGGGUAGCCGGCCUGAGAGGGUGACCGGCGACAUUGGGACUGAGAUACGGCCCAGACUCCUACGGGAGGCAGCAGUGGGGAAUAUUGCACAAUGGGCGGAAGCCUGAUGCGGCAACGCCGCGUGCGGGAUGACGGCCUUCGGGUUGUAAACCGCUUUCGCCUGUGACGAAGCGUGAGUGACGGUAAUGGGUAAAGAAGCACCGGCUAACUACGUG